This 729-nucleotide ribosomal RNA is filed under the name Triticum aestivum (bread wheat). RNAcentral's name for it is "partial small subunit ribosomal RNA". Lineage: Eukaryota; Viridiplantae; Streptophyta; Magnoliopsida; Poales; Poaceae. The record is from RNAcentral.
AUGUCUGACGGCUCCCAGUGGGCCAGCACUUGGCUCGCCGGGGCGACGGAUCACGCGCGCGGCAACCACGCUAGCAUCAUUCAGGCAAUGCAUGCGCCACCGACCUCGGAGCCAGUGCUUGGCGGUGAGCCGGCGGAGUCCGGUGCGCUGAUCGACACGACGGGCGUGGACAUCUGGCUGCCGAUGCUGGUGUACGUUUCGCGCGAGAAGAAGCCCGGGUACGACCACAACAAGAAGGCCGGCGCCAUAACGCGCUGGUCAGGACGAGUGCCAUCAUGUCGAACGGGCCCUUCAUCCUCAACCUGGACUGCGACCACUACGUGCACAACUCGGCGGCGCUCCGCGAAGGGAUGUGCUACAUGCUCGACCGCCGCGGCGACCGCGUCUGCUACGUGCAGUUCCCGCAGCGGUUCGAGGGCAUCGACCCCAACGACCGGUACGCCAACCACAACCUCGUCUUCUUCGAUGUCGCCAUGCGCGCCAUGGACGGGCUGCAGGGCCCCAUGUACGUCGGAGGCUGCAUCUUCCGCCGCACCGCUCUGUAUGGGUUCAGCCCGCCGCGCGCCACCAAGCACCACGGCUGGCUCGGCAGGAAGAUCAAGCUGUUCCUGCGGAAGCCCACCAUGGGGAAGAAGACGGACAUGGAGCUGGUCAUGGCGAUUUUGCAAAAAUAACCCCGGAUCGAGUAGUAUUCACCCUAGGAUCGACUAUGUGGCGGUCAAAGCCUAG